This 301-nucleotide ribosomal RNA is filed under the name uncultured bacterium. RNAcentral's name for it is "partial 16S ribosomal RNA". It matches the Rfam family "Bacterial small subunit ribosomal RNA", at positions 509 to 808 of the family's 1533-position model. The record is from RNAcentral.
CAGUCGCCACGGUAAUACGUAGGUCCCGAGCGUUGUCCGGAUUUAUUGGGCGUAAAGCGAGCGCAGGCGGUUAGAUAAGUCUGAAGUUAAAGGCUGUGGCUUAACCAUAGUACGCUUUGGAAACUGUUUAACUUGAGUGCAAGAGGGGAGAGCGGAAUUCCAUGUGUAACGGUGAAAUGCGUAGAUAUAUGGAGGAACACCGGUGGCGAAAGCGGCUCUCUGGCUUGUAACUGACGCUGAGGCUCGAAAGCGUGGGGAGCAAACAGGAUUAGAUACCCGCGUAGUCCCUGUCUCUUAUACA